RNAcentral lists this ribosomal RNA (498 nucleotides) under uncultured bacterium. RNAcentral's name for it is "bacterial SSU rRNA". It matches the Rfam family "Archaeal small subunit ribosomal RNA", at positions 854 to 1353 of the family's 1478-position model. The record is from RNAcentral.
ACUCAAAUGAAUAGACGGGGGAGCACCGCAACGGGAGGAGCGUGCGGUUCAAUUGGAUUCAACGCCGGACAACUCACCAGGAGCGACGGUUACAUGAAGGCCAGGCUGAUGACCUUGCCUGAUUUUCCGAGAGGUGGUGCAUGGCCGUCGUCAGUUCGUACCGUAAGGCGUUCUCUUAAGUGAGAUAACGAACGAGACCCUCGCCGCUAAUUGCCAAUGCUCUCUCCGGAGGGCACGCACAUUAACGGGACCGCUGUCGCUAAGACAGAGGAAGGAGAGGUCAACGGUAGGUCCGUAUGCCCCGAAUCUCCUGGGCUACACGCGCGCUACAAAGGUUGGGACAAUGGGCUCCGACAUCGAAAGGUGAAGGCAAUCUCGAAACCCAAUCGUAGUUCGGAUUGAGGGUUGUAACUCACCCUCAUGAAGCUGGAUUCCGUAGUAAUCGCUUGUCAACAUCAAGCGGUGAAUAUGCCCCUGCUCCUUGCACACACCGCCCGU